RNAcentral lists this long non-coding RNA (2121 nucleotides) under Lathyrus oleraceus (garden pea). RNAcentral describes it as "Pisum sativum (pea) long non-coding RNA (PSAT_LNC019295)". The record is from RNAcentral. Lineage: Eukaryota; Viridiplantae; Streptophyta; Magnoliopsida; Fabales; Fabaceae.
UAACAUGGAAAAGAAAUAAAUAAAAGGACACGUUAUCCCUCUCUCUUUUCUCCGAGACUCUCACUCCAUUCAGUACCUCACCCUCUCAUCUAUCACUCACUUUCCACAAUGAAAAAGAAGAAACAAAAAGAAAAAGUCUCUCCUUUUCACGUUGGGGGAACCUCCUUCGUCUUCCUCAACAACUCUCACCACCAUAAAUCACCGGCGAAACGCUCGAACAACACAAACCUUUCACCGUAACGUCGCUCCUUCAUUUUCCUAUUUAAAAUCCAACAACCAUACCCCACAACCUCAAUCUUCCUCAUCCAUUGCCGACCGUCAUCAACCGCCACAGCCGCCAACAUUCCAACAACCAUACCCCACAACCUCAAUCUUCCUCAUCCAUUGCCGACCGUCAUCAACCGCCACAGCCGCCAACAUCUACACCGCGCUCACCAUCUCCAGCCGCGCGUUCUUCCUCACCAUCUGUCGUCCACCGAAUCGCCGGCAAAACCUCUCAACAUAACCGCUCAACACCCUUCUUCUCCACUUCGACCGUCGAAAUACUCCUCCGAUUCACCUCACAUCUUCCAUCACUUUAACAAGCGUAAUCUCACCGUGAGCAACUCCACUCAGCCGCUCCUUUCCUUCAACAGAAGCUAAAGUCAUCUUCUCCAAUUCAACACUGUUUUUUUGUUUUGCUUUCAAAAUUGGGAAGGUUAUAUUUUCUAUUCUGCUUGGGUGUUAUCUCUUUUCUGCAGGUUGAGUUUAAUUUACUAACCUGAUCGGGAUACCGCAAGGAUGUGAUUCAAUUAGAUGUCGCGAUGUACACGUUUCAGUUAUGAUUUGUUCCUCUUUGGAUCGCCGCUUCGGUUACGGUACCGAGUUUCUUACAUUUCUCAUAAUUCAUAUAUAUCUUGUGAUAAGCUAAAAGUUGUGAUUGAAUUACAAAGUCAAAAUUUGUGCAGAAUGAGCAUCCUGCUGCUGUGGAACAAUAGAAAUAUUUUGUUUUAAUUUUAGUAUAUAUUUUAAAAUUGGCUCUGCACUAUUACUGUUAAAUAUGUGCAGAAUGAAGUUCCAUCCCUGUUUUAAAAGUGAUCAAACCAACAUAUAAAACAUUGUUAAAUUAAUGAAACAUUUUCUUAUGAAUUUUUUAACUAUAAGAGAAAUAGUUCAUAGUCACGAUCGAUCGGUGAGGUCGCCGAAAUAUCAUUGUUUUCCUUUGAUAAAAUGUUGAUGUUGCUGCUCCGAAUGAGUCUGAGUUGUCGUCUACGGCACUAGUUGUUUUUUUGGAUCAGUGAUGACAUAUCCAUUGUUACGGUACAAAUCAAUUUAAAUUUGUGGCAUAACGUUGAAUCUUUCAUUUUCAUAACAGUACUGGAUAUAUUUGGGAUAGGUUGUGUUUGGGGUAAUUUUUCGGUUCCAUCUUAGAUAUGUAUUCAUUUUGCUUUGAACUCUGCAUUGCUUAUGUUAGUUAUCCUUUUGUAGCAGGAUGUACCAGUAAUUUUCUUUUCUUUUCUUGAAGUGGCUUUACUUGGCUUUUAUUUUUCGGUUGCAAUUACUAUUCAUUUUCAAUUCAAAUUAUUCAGUGAUUGGUAUUAUGUUUGUAUGUUGGAAUUCUAGUAAUCCUGUAAAUAAUCAUAACGUGUUCUAUUUUUCCUUUGCACUAUAUUAUAUCUAUUUCGGUUUCAAUUUGAUUACUUUGCGUAUCGUCUACAUUAUGCGUUUCAAUAACGAAUGCUUGUAUGUCGAAGUUUUGUUUUGAGUUAUAUGUUGGAUUUUUAAUGACAUGGUAAUGAUCUUGUAAUUAUGAUAAUUACGCGUUCUAUUUUACACUGUAUUGUGAGUUUUGAUUACAUAUGUGUUUCGAUUGCGUAUCCAUUUCGGUUAUAGUUUUGUAAAUUACUGAUAAUUCCCUUUUGUUGAUUCUGUUAACUCUAUUUUUUACAAGAUGAUUAAGUGAUUGUUGUUCCCACUUGUUUAACUGAUAUGGCGAACUAAGUGUAUAACUUACCGGAUAUUUUUAUGCUUGUAAUGCUAUCCAUAGUUUUGACAAUGUUGAAAUUUUGUGCUUUAAAAUUUAAGUUCUUUUCAUUAAAAGCCAACACUUUUGUUUUGCUGCACAUUUUAAUGGUAGGGCUG